AAGACUAUAGACCUGCGGAGUACCUGCGGAGGGAUCAUUACCGAGUUAUCAACUCCCAAACCCCUGUGAACAUACCCGAACGUUGCCUCGGCGGGACCGCCCCGGCGCCCCUAGCGGCCCGGAACCAGGCGCCCGCCGGAGGACCCAAACUCUUGCUUUAAACAGUGGCAUACUCUCUGAGUCUCACAAACAAAAAAUAAAUCAAAACUUUCAGCAACGGAUCUCUAGAUCGGAAGAGCA
RNAcentral lists this unclassified non-coding RNA (240 nucleotides) under soil metagenome. Its description in RNAcentral is "partial contains 5.8S ribosomal RNA, internal transcribed spacer 2, and large subunit ribosomal RNA". The record is from RNAcentral.